RNAcentral lists this non-coding RNA (713 nucleotides) under Cryphalus piceae. Lineage: Eukaryota; Metazoa; Arthropoda; Insecta; Coleoptera; Curculionidae. The record is from RNAcentral.
UUUUAGUGAGAAAUAAUUUUUACUUAGAUAGUGUAAGGUUGCUAAAUUGCAGUGGUUAAUUUUAUUGGUUUGGGGGGUCAAGAUAUAGGAAAAUAGUAAAAGUGUAGGCUAAAUUUGUGCCAGCAGUAGCGGUUAUACAGAUUAUGCAAUAUAGGAGGUUCAGUUGUAGUUAAAUUUAACUUGGAGGAGGUUGAAUAGGGUUAUAUUAGGUGAAAUUUUAUAGAAUUUAAUACUUUUUAAUUAUGAGGCUAAUAAUUUUUUUAUUCACUGGGAUUAGAUACCCCAUUAUUGAAAUCGAGAGUAUGAUGCUGAGUUAUUCUUAGUUAUUUUCUUUAAAACUAAUAGAGAUGGCGGUAUUUUAUCUUUUCAGAGGAGCCUGCCCUGUAAUUGAUGAUCCACGAUUAGGGGUAUCUUAAUUUUUAGUUUACAUAUCGUUGUUAGUGGUUAUUUUUUAUGAAGCAGAAUAUCCUAAAAAUUGCAUAAAAAUAGAUCAGGUCAAGAUGUAGUUUAUAUUAAGGUAGAGGUGGGCUACAAAAGUUUUAUUUAUGGAUAGAUUAAUUGAGUUUUUCUUGAAAAUGGAUUUGAAAGUAAUUAAGGGUAAUAUUUUUUUGAUGAUUUAGUGCUAAAAUAUGUACAUAUCGCCCGUCGCUUUCAUUUUGAUGUGGAAUAAGUCGUAACAAAGUAGGCGUACUGGAAGGUGUAUCUGGAUUGUC